UACAGGGGGGGCAAGCGUUGUUCGGAAUUACUGGGCGUAAAGGGUUUGUAGGUGGCCACUUAAGUCAGACGUGAAAUCCCUCAGCUUAACUGGGGAACUGCGUCUGAUACUGCGUGGCUUGAGUGCAGGAGAGGAACGCGGAAUUCCAGGUGUAGCGGUGAAAUGCGUAGAUAUCUGGAGGAACACCGGUGGCGAAGGCGGCGUUCUGGACUGUAACUGACACUGAAAAACGAAAGCCAGGGGAGCAAACGGG
Molecule: ribosomal RNA, 253 nt
Filed under: uncultured bacterium
Lineage: Bacteria
Description: partial 16S ribosomal RNA
Rfam family: Bacterial small subunit ribosomal RNA
Source: RNAcentral